AUGACCUCCAUGUUGCUGUUAAAUUUAGCUGCCUUAAGGUAAUGUUUAAAGGCUGCACCAUUAACAGUUGGUCAUAGACUAGGAAUAUGAAUCAUCAGCCUUGCGCCAAACCAAAGCUUUUGGCAAAACCUUAAGGUCACACUUUUUCCUUUAUUCACACCAAACAGUGGCAUUGGAUGUAAACUCUAUCCUGCUGAAUUGUACAAUUGUUUUACUUCAAAAUAAAUAUUUAGCACAUAGCAUCUUUAUACCAAAUCAUAGAUUAUAUUUUUACUUUAAAAUCUUAAAAAUUAGUACUGUAAAUAUAAUAGAACUGAAAC
This 320-nucleotide long non-coding RNA is filed under the name Scophthalmus maximus (turbot). Its description in RNAcentral is "lncRNA (ENSSMAG00000022864.1)". Lineage: Eukaryota; Metazoa; Chordata; Actinopteri; Pleuronectiformes; Scophthalmidae. The record is from RNAcentral.